RNAcentral lists this ribosomal RNA (298 nucleotides) under uncultured bacterium. Its description in RNAcentral is "partial 16S ribosomal RNA". It matches the Rfam family "Bacterial small subunit ribosomal RNA", at positions 28 to 334 of the family's 1533-position model. The record is from RNAcentral.
GAUGAACGCUGGCGGCGUGCCUAAUACAUGCAAGUCGAACGCACCGCAAGGUGAGUGGCGAACGGGUGAGUAAGACGUAAGUAACCUAGCCUAGACAGGGGGAUAACUGUUGGAAACGACAGCUAAGACCGCAUAGGUAUAUGUAUCGCAUGAUGGAUAUAUAAAAAGUGCUACGGGACUGGUAGAGGAUGGACUUACGGCGCAUUAGCUAGUUGGUGAGGUAGAGGCUCACCAAGGCGACGAUGCGUAGCCGACCUGAGAGGGUGGACGGCCACACUGGGACUGAGACACGGCCCAG